UACGUAGGGACCGAGCGUUGUCCGGAAUCAUUGGGCGUAAAGAGCUCGUAGGCGGUUUGUCGCGUCUGCUGUGAAAGACCGGGGCUCAACUCCGGUUCUGCAGUGGGUACGGGCAGACUAGAGUGCAGUAGGGGAGACUGGAAUUCCUGGUGUAGCGGUGAAAUGCGCAGAUAUCAGGAGGAACACCGGUGGCGAAGGCGGUUCUCUGGGCAUGUCCUGACGCUGAGGAGCGAAAGUGUGGGGAGACGAAGCAUG
This 255-nucleotide ribosomal RNA is filed under the name uncultured bacterium. RNAcentral's name for it is "partial 16S ribosomal RNA". It matches the Rfam family "Bacterial small subunit ribosomal RNA", at positions 524 to 779 of the family's 1533-position model. The record is from RNAcentral.